GAGUUUGAUCCUGGCUCAGAACGAACGCUGGCGGCGUGGAUAAGACAUGCAAGUCGAGCGCUAAUUUCAGUGUAGCAAUAUAUUGAAGUUGGAGCGGCGCAAGGGUGCGUAACACGUGGGUAAUUUGCCAUGAAGUUGGGGAUAACUCGCUGAAAGGCGAGCUAAUACCGGAUGUGGUUUUUGGGAGGCAUCUUCUGGAAACCAAAGCUGGGGAUCGUAAGACCUGGCGCUUUAUGAUAAGCCCGCGGCCUAUCAGCUAGUUGGUGAGGUAACGGCUCACCAAGGCUAAGACGGGUAGCUGGUCUGAGAGGACGACCAGCCACACUGGAACUGAGACACGGUCCAGACACCUACGGGUGGCAGCAGUCGAGAAUUUUUCUCAAUGGGCGAAAGCCUGAAGGAGCGACGCCGCGUGGGGGAUGAAGGGUCUCGAUCCGUAAACCCCUGUCAUUCGUGAACAAUGGUUAUCAUUUAAAAGAUGAUGACUUGAUAGUAACGGAAGAGGAAGGGACGGCUAACU
RNAcentral lists this ribosomal RNA (520 nucleotides) under uncultured bacterium. Its description in RNAcentral is "bacterial SSU rRNA". It matches the Rfam family "Bacterial small subunit ribosomal RNA", at positions 9 to 502 of the family's 1533-position model. The record is from RNAcentral.